UUGAACGCUGGCGGCAUGCUUUACACAUGCAAGUCGAACGGUAGCAGGCCUUCGGGUGCUGACGAGUGGCGAACGGGUGAGUAAUGCAUCGGAACGUGCCCAAUCGUGGGGGAUAACGCAGCGAAAGUUGCGCUAAUACCGCAUACGAUCUACGGAUGAAAGUGGGGGAUCGCAAGACCUCAUGCUCAUGGAGCGGCCGAUAUCUGAUUAGCUAGUUGGUGGGGUAAAAGCCUACCAAGGCAUCGAUCAGUAGCUGGUCUGAGAGGACGACCAGCCACACUGGAACUGAGACACGGUCCAGACUCCUACGGGAGGCAGCAGUGGGGAAUUUUGGACAAUGGGCGCAAGCCUGAUCCAGCAAUGCCGCGUGAGUGAAGAAGGCCUUCGGGUUGUAAAGCUCUUUUGUCAGGGAAGAAACGGUGAGGGCUAAUAUCCUUUGCUAAUGACGGUACCUGAAGAAUAAGCACCGGCUAACUACGU
This 480-nucleotide ribosomal RNA is filed under the name uncultured bacterium. RNAcentral's name for it is "bacterial SSU rRNA". It matches the Rfam family "Bacterial small subunit ribosomal RNA", at positions 30 to 506 of the family's 1533-position model. The record is from RNAcentral.